GUAAGGCCCAAUUUUAUGCCCAGGCCCGAAUAUUAAAACAAUAAACAACAGUCCAAUUACAAAGGAAAAUAACAAACCCAAAAUUCAACCCACUACCUAGCCCAAUAGCAGAAACCCUAGCCCAAAUAAAAAAUGUUUGCAGCAGAAAACCCUAGGCGCAGCAUGCCUAGGGCGCGCCGCUCAGCCUCGUCUGCCCCCCUCACGCAUGCACGCCUCUGACCGGUCGCCACUCGCACGCCUCAGCCUUGGCCACCACGACGCCCAUACUGUCUGACACCCCACCACCAACACCGGCCAUACCCUGCAAACACAAACAACAAAAAAGGCAGCCACAACAGAGGAAUAAGAGCAUUUUUUAUUGUUAUUGUAAUCCAUUAUAAAACCGAAGGGAAAAAUUUUGAAGUGGGGGGACGGAUGGUAUUUUGGAAAAAAGGGGGGGCUUCGAUUUUCUUUGUAAAAAGCCCACAUCAGAAAUCAAAAUCUGGAUAGAAAUUUAAAGGUUGAAUCUGUGCUAUUUUCUUCUUCGUUUUCUCUUAUUUAUUUGUUUUAUCUCAUUUUAUUUUACUUUUUUUCGCUUUUUGCAAAUCUAUCUUAAAUAACUAAUAAAAAACAAAAGCGAAAAUAAGGGGGAAGGGAACUCACCGGAAAUGGCCAUGGUUGCGCCGUCGGAGGGUCUCUCAUCCAUCGCCCGAAUCGGGUCCGAGAGGCUGAGAACUCCCCUUGUUUUCGACUCCCAUGGGUUGAGGGAGCUUUGGCUCACAAGGAUGCCACGGAGCAGGGGCUAACGGGCCCAUUCUUCGGCGCCGGUCGCCGGCCACUUUGGUGGUGCGACGGAGGUCUUGAGAAGACCGUCGGCCAUUUGAAAAAGGGGGGGCGUUGAGAAGAAAACUGAGGCUCCUUCAGUUUUUUUUGAAAAUAUGAAAAAGUGAAGUAUGAAAAAAUAUUUUUUGGGUUAUAUUAGCAGUAAAACGGCGUCGUUUGAAGGAGAGUGACCAGCGCAUUCUUGCCCUAAUGGGUAAUUUGCGUCUUUGGUCCCUCCGAUUUUGCAGCGCCAUUUAAUGCAGCCUUUUCUUUCUUUUAAUUUCGACUAUAGAAUUUCGCCCCUCUUCCAAUUCGGUCCCGCGCAAAGCAAUGCGCAUAAGAGACGGGAGAUAUUGCACAAUCGAUCCCUCAUGUCCUCAGCGCAAUUUAUUUAGGUCCCCCUAGCCACCUGUUUCAUGUAUUUGCAGUUUAAGACCCAUUUUUUUAUUUCGUUUCAACCACAUCCUUUAUAUGUUUAACCUUUUUAUAUAUGCUAUUUUAUCAUUGUUUGUUUUAAGCCUAUAUAUUUAUUAUUUAUUUGAAAUUGUUUUGCAUUAAAAUUUUUCAUAUAUUUUAUAAAAACUGUUUCUUUUAUUGUUUAAGAUUUUCUUUUGUAUAUUGUUUUAUCUUAAACUAUUUUAGAUUGACUAGUAUUUAUCUCAAGUUUUUUUGAUUCUGUUUAUUUAUUUGGUUUAAAUUCAUAUAUUAUCAUCUUAUAUAUUAUUAUCUAUAUUAAAUACUUUAAUAUUCAUAAUUUCAAAUUGUUCAUACAUUUUUAUAAUAUAUAUUUACGUGCAUACUUUUCAUUUAUUAUAAAUAUAUACUUUUUAUAUUUUAUAUUUCAUAUCUUUAUAUACAUAGAUAUACAUAAAUACAUACAUCUUAAUUCAUAUAUAUGUAUAUACAUACUUAUACCUACUUAAAUAUAUUUUCCAUAUUUCAUAAUUCUUAUAUACUUACAUAUAUUUAUGCAUAUUUUACAUCAUAUACAUACUUAUACAUAUAUUCUUUAUAUUCUUAAAAAUGCUUUUUGCAUAUUUCACAUAUUUUAUAACUCACAUACAUAUAUUUUAUAUUAUCACGAUUUGUAAAUAUAUAAACACAUUUACAUUUUUAUUUUUAUAAUACUUACCGAUUUUUUAUAUAUGUACGUACUUAUCCAUGUUUUCAUAUUCUGUAAUUUAUAUAUAUUUCUUAUUUUACGGUUUUAAAUUAUACAUGCACAUAUAUAUAUUUUACAUAAUUGUAUUCAUUGUCAUCAUUGUUAUUUGGUGUUUGUUUAUUUAUCCAUGUACACUUGUGCUUUUUCUAAAACGUUAGUUCUAUUUAUUUAUUUGUAUGCUUUGUUUAUGUAAUCGCCUCGUCAUUUCAUUUUGCCUAUUGUAUUGUUGUUACUCACUUUACUUUGCUUACCUUGUCGUAUUCGUUAUUGUUUCGUCAAUCAUUAACACCAAACAUCAAAAGGAAAAUUUUUCUAAGUAAGGCAAUAUUUCGCGUUUGGAAAAUCGAGAAAACGUGCCCUAACGUGCUGGGUUUCGAUUUCUCGUUCGACCAAAUAGCCAAAUAUCCUUUUUAAACUUUUGAAUAAGGCAAUAUUUCGCGUUUGGAAAAUCGAGGAAACGUGCCCUAACGUGCUGGGUUUCGAUUUCUCGUUCGACUAAACAGCCAAAUAUCCUCUUAAAGCUUCAAAGUAUGGUUUCAUUAAACUAUAAGGUGAUCUUGGUUUCGAUGGUUUAGAGUAUCGUGUCCUAACGUGCUGGGUGUGAUAUUCCUUCGGAACAAGAGAAUCUUAUGUUUCAAUUCACGAUAUCAGAUUUUCUUUUAAGGAUCGUAUUCUUUAAAAAAAAACUCUUCAAAUUUUCAAUUUUCGACACUAAGACACUAAUUAAUCAACUAGGUACCAAUUUUGGGCGUAUCGAGGGUGCUAAUCCUUCCUCGUGCGUAACCGGCUCCCGAACUCAUUUUUCUGAAUUUCGUAGACCAAAAUCGUUGUUUUAAUAAGAUUAAAUCAUUUAUUAAAAACAACCACUUUUUGAGGUGACCCGAUCACACCUCGUCAAAAAAGGGAUUGGUGGCGACUCCCGUUUUCUUUUUUUUUUAAAUCCAAGUCGACCCCGUUUUCAUCAAAAAAAAAUGGUGUCAACAGCUUGGCGACUCCACUGGGGAUGAUAAGAGAGUCAAGCCACGUGUUGAUUAUUUCUUGUCUUUUUGUCGAAAGUUGAAAAUUCGAUUUAAAUUUACGAUCCUCUCAUCUCUUUUGUUUUGAGUUACAUUUUUUAUCGUGUUCUGUAUUUUAUUUUAUACCUCCGCACAUUCCAUUGCAUGACCGUUGGUCACACCUUUUAAGUGGGAGUGAGAAACUACGCCUUCGUGAGGUUUUCACCUCCGCAUGGGAUAGUGAAUCGCUUCCGGGAUACAUCCGUACCUAUGUCUUCGUGAGAUUUUCACCUCCGCAUGGCCAUAGGGAAAUGUAUUCCCCUGAACUGAACUCGGUCCAUGUGAGCCUAUAAUGGGUGAGGAUCGAGGAAUCUGCUGGUUCAGGUACCCUUACUUUAGAACCAAACCACACAUAGCGAGCCAUAAGAACCCACCGAGAUAGAGCUAUUCCAGACCCUAGUGCUUACCGAAUAGAUGCUUUAUUUAUUAUUGUUUACUUUAAAUCCUAGAUCUAAUUUGCUUUAUUUGUGAUUGCAUGGCAUUUUCAUUUCAAAAGAGGUGUCGAUUCACGUUCAGUAUAGAUAGAAAGCUUAUCAUGGAAAAAAGGUUUCUUGAUAAAGUAGAAGACAAUGCAGCUGUACGAUUCUGGGCUGAGACGAAGUGGAGAGAGAAAGGCGAUAGUCUUGCAGAAGGGUACGUAUUAGAGUUAUGGGACUUCACCCGUAUCAGCGUAGUCCAAAAUGAUCUGCAAGAAAUGAAGGAAAUAUGGGAUCAAUGGGACGACGGGACCAAGCAGAUGUUUUACUGUGAUUACGGGGACUUGCCUCACCUACUUGGUGUCAAAGUGGACAAGCAUUUAUUCCGAGCCCUAGCCCAGUUUUGGAAUCCUGCUUACAGUUGUUUCACUUUUGGAAAAGUGGACUUGGUGCCCACCGUGGAAGAAUAUACGACCUUGCUUCGGUGUCCAAAGAUUCAAAUUGACAAGGCCUAUUCUAGAGCUACUAGUGUCCCGACAUUAUUAAAAAAAUUGAUGAGCAUUACAGGGAUGAGCGAACAGUGGGUCGCUGCCCGGAUCCAACAGAAAGGAGACAGUAAAUGCGUUCAUUGGAAAAACUUGCGAGAUCUAGUAUUAGCACACCCUGAUGUGAAGAAAAGAGUGGAUGUCUUCGCUUUAGGUAUCUAUGGAUUGGUAAUUUUCCCUAGAGCUUUAGGACACGUAGAUGAGGCCGUCUCUGAUUUGUUCGAUCGGCUUAGUAAAGGAGUCACGCCCAUCCCGGCAAUCUUAGCAGAAACCUUCAGAUAUCUAAGUGCAUGUCGAAGAGCAGGGGAGGGAAGGUUCAUCGGAUGCGCACAGCUACUAUUGGUGUGGUUCCAUAGUCACUUUUGGAAGGUGGAAAAUGUCUCCUAUCGAGUCUUCUCAGAAGACUAUUCUCCAUUGAAGGAACAAGUUGCUACACCAAGACGAGACGACAUCACGGAAGAAAAGUGGAUGACGAUGCUCCAAAAUCUUCAGGAGGAUGACGUUGAAUGGAAAGCUCCUUGGAUGGUACCCGACGAGAUCCUGUACCGAUGUGGGGAUUUUGACUGGGUCCCUUUACUCGGAAUUUGGGGAGCUGUCGGUUAUGCCCAUUUACUCGUAUUAAGACAAUAUAGAUCGAGACAGUUCAUACCAGCAACACAAGGGCUGGCUCAAUGUGAGUUUUCUUAUAAGGAUGAAAACUACAAGAGAAAAACUCGAGAAAUAUCUAACGCUUGGAAACAGGUCCACCGAAUGAAAAGAUUUACCGUAGGAGCGAUGGCAACUUCAGAAUAUUAUGGGUGGUGGAGUAAAAGAGUCAAUGACAACAUCCCUAAGCCGAGGGAAGAUUGCGUUCAGUCUAUAGAGGAGCAUCUACAAGUAGUUCCGUCAGAAUUAGAGAUCAUCAAACGAGACUUUGAGAAAAGAAAUUCUGAGUUGGGAAAGAGGAUAGAACAGUUAGAAGAAGAAAGAGUGCAUUUGGGAUUAGACAUCGAUAUCCACAAGCUAGAAGCCGAGAAAUUAAGGAAGGGAAAGAACAAAGCUGAAGAUGAUUUGGAUAGUCUAAAAACAGAUUACAAGAAGCUGCGAUUGUCGAUGAGAACUGUCGGUCUGGGUAAAACGUCAGAGCAGUGGCGACAAGAGAUCAAUGAGGAAAAGAAUAGGGCCAAUCAGUGGGAAAAGAAAUUUCAAGAUGCUCGAGCUCGAGAAAACGCUUUGGAAAGGAGUUUGUUAGAGUGCCGAAAUGAGAAGGCAGGAUUAAAGGCUAAGGCGACAGAGCUAGAAAAGUCACUUCACUCGUACCAUAGUCGCAACUCUAUGAUCGAAUUAAGAGCAAGCUUAAAUAAGAUCGAAGAACUGAAGGAAAAGGUAGAGGAGCUUGAGGACGCAUUACACAAUUCUGAGCUACGAAUGGAGCUUCUUGAGAGGAGUAAUGAUCAAUGGCAAGAGCAAUUCCAUCAUUCACAAAGGCAGAUUAGAGACAGAGAUUACGUUAUGGGCGAAGCUGUGACUCAAGUGCGGGAAGUGGCUGAUCAUCUGCAAACAUUAGCAGUUCAGGCCGAUGUAUUGAGUUUAAAAUAUGAGUCAGAAUCAAGCCGAGGUCGAGAUUUAGCUUGGCUUCUUAGGAAGGUUAAGGCCUUGGGUAUAAAGGCGAAGCCGUAUAUGUAAUUUAUUUUAUGUAAAGAAAUUUGCUUUCUAGUUGAGUUUUCUAAUGAAAUUGAAUUCGAAUCAAUGCCUCUUUUUUUUGCAUUCAUCUCAUACAUUUGCAUUACAUCUCAUAAAACGACCCUAAUAAAAUUAAAUUAUGACAGUUACCCUGGAAACCAACCAAAAUCUAAUCAAAUAUCACUACGGUACUCGUCGCCAAACAAAAGCAAUGGAUCAAAGGUUGGAAAGAUUGGAACAGUUGCAACGAGAGAUGCAAGAUCAGAUGCAUGAACGACUGGAAAAAAUCCAGCAAGACAUGUUAGAAUCCCAGAACACUGUGAUGAACCAAUUAAAGCAGUUAUUGGCUGGAGGAAAUAACAAAGGAAAAGAUCCUGUAGUCGAUACGGGGGAAGAUCACGAUGACCCUAUUUAUCCUCCAGGUUUCACCCCAACUAACAUUCAAGCACAACCAGAGGUGUACCCACAGAGGGUACCGGUUACCAUUAGACCUCAAUAUCUGGCUGGUACCUCGGUACCAUUGCAUUUUCAAAUGGGCUCGGGUUCUAAUCCUGGGGAUAAUCCCACUAAUCCUGUGGUCCCGGACCUCGAUGAUGUGGCAGAAACAGAAAAAACAAGAAUGAACCUGCCAAAACAACUAGAAGACCGAUGUAGAUGGUUAGAGGAAAAGUUUAGAGUCAUGGAAAACAUCGACUAUCAUCGCGGGGUUGACGCCAAGGAUCUGAGUUUGGUCCCCGAUUUAGUACUCCCACCUAAGUUCAAAAUGCCGGAAUUCGAAAAAUAUAAUGGGACUAGUUGUCCUGAAGCUCAUAUAACUAUGUUCUGUCGGAGAAUGACAGGAUACGUCAACAACGAUCAGCUGUUAAUCCACUGCUUCCAGGACAGUUUGAUCGGAUCUGCAGCCAAAUGGUACAACCAACUGAGUCGUGCUAAAGUUAGUUCAUGGAGAGACUUGGCGCAAGCUUUUAUGAAGCAAUACAGUCAUGUAACGGAUAUAACACCCGAUCGAAUUACGUUACAAAACAUGGAGAAAAAGCCUAGCGAUAAUUUCAGGCAGUACGCCCAACGAUGGAGAGAAGUGGCAACACAAGUCCAGCCACCCCUUUUGGAAAAAGAGGUCACCAUGUUGUUUAUCAACACUUUGAAAGCCCCGUUCAUCAACCACAUGUUGGGGAGUGCUACCAAGAGCUUCUCGGACAUGGUAAUGUCUGGUGAAAUGAUUGAGAACGCGGUAAGGAGCGGUAAAAUUGACACGGGGGAAAACUUCAAAAGACCGGCCCCAAGGAAAAAAGAGGGCGAAGUAAACAACGUAAGCACAUAUAGCAAGAACCAUUCAAAACCGAUUACUGUUGGCCCUCCAAAAAUGAUAACCACUAGUCACCAAGCCCCCUCGAGGCAGGAACCCAACACAAGGCCCAACACAAGGGCCAACACAGAGAGACUUCAAUUCACGCCCAUUCCAAUAACAUACGGGAAACUGUAUCAGAAGUUAUUUGAUGCACACAUAGUAUCUCCAUUUUAUCUCGAGCCCAUGCAACCUCCAUAUCCCAAAUGGUAUGACACGAAUGCCCAAUGUGAAUACCAUGCAGGGAUACCAGGACACUCAAUUGAGAACUGCACUGGGUUUAAAAAGGCGGUGGAAAGGUUCAUUAAGAUGGGGAUUGUGAAGUUUGACAACCCACUAGGACCCAACGUAGCAGCGAAUCCGUUACCCAACCAUGCUGAUAAAGGGGUAAACGCAAUAAUCGAAGGUGAGAAAAAGAGAAUCAAAACUGACAUUGCAGAGAUAAAAACCCCAUUGAGUUGGGUCUGGAGACAAAUGAUAGAAGGAGGUCUCAUCAAACAAGAUUCAAAAGAAAGGCCCGAAGGAACGAAGACGUACUGCGAGUUUCAUGCUGAAGAAGACCAUGACAUUCAAAACUGCACUGAAUUCAAGGCCAUGGUGCAAAAUCUGAUGAACAACAAAGAGCUAGAAUUUUAUGAAGAGAUCAAAGGACUUGAAAAUGGAGAAGUUUAUGCCUCGGAGGAGGGGCCUACGGGAAAGGCCCUAAAUCACCCAGUGGUGAUUAUUUCAAGGCCAACGAGUACAGGAUCUGGAAUACAACUGGCGCCAAGGGUCAUAAUCCAAAAACCUGUAGCCUUUCCUUACAAGGAUAGCAAAAAGGUUCCUUGGAAUUACGAUUGCAAUGUGAUGAUCACGGGAGAGGAGAACCCGAUAAAUGCUUCAGAAGAGGGUAAUGACGCAGGUUUCUAUACGCGUAGUGGAAAACGUUACGACCUGGGAAAUACAAAAAGGGAACCUAUAAAAGGAAAAGCCUUGGCGGUUGAACAAGAUAAAACGAAGACGACCGGAAUUGAACCGCAAAUUAACACACCGGUGACUGAAAAUGAGGCUAGAGAAUUCCUAAAAUUCUUGAAGCAUAGCGAGUAUAGCGUGGUGGAACAAUUGCAUAAGCAACCCGCUCGCAUCUCAGUGCUCGAGUUACUUCUAAGUUCAGAGAUACAUCGUAAUGCGUUGGUAAAAGUGCUAAAUGAGACCUAUGUCGCUAAAGAUAUCUCAGUGAACAAAUUGGAUCGCCUGGUUAACAAUAUAAAUGCCGAUAAUUUCAUCUUCUUCAACGAUGAUGAGAUCCCGCCAGGUGGUAUGGGAUCUACCAAGGCCUUGCACAUCACUGCCCGUUGCAAGGGGUGUAUACUACCGGCAGUACUCGUGGACAAUGGAUCGGCCCUGAAUGUUUUACCCCUGUCCACAUUAAACAGGUUACCUGUGGAUAGUUCUCACAUGAAAUCAUGUCAAAAUAUAGUGAGAGCAUUUGAUGGCACUGAGAGAAAAGUGAUGGGAAGAAUCGAGAUACCUCUAUUGAUUGGUCCAAAUACAUACGAGGUGGACUUUUUGGUAAUGGAUAUUAAACCAUCUUAUAAUUGCCUAUUGGGGAGGCCUUGGAUCCAUUCUGCAGGAGCUGUACCAUCAUCACUUCACCAAAAGUUAAAGUUGGUGAUAGAGGGUAGAUUGGUGACUAUAGGUGCAGAAGAAGACAUCAUUGCAUCAGUCACGGAUGAUAUGCCAUACAUAGAGACUGAUAGUGAAGCGAUAGAAUGUUCAUUCCGAUCAUUGGAAUUCGUAAAUGCCACAUUUGUCAUCGAGAUGAGCAAAAUCCCAGAACCUAAGAUAUCCAAAGCUACGUCAAUGAGCUUACAGCUAACGAUGGGAAAGGGAGCAUUGCCUGGAAGAGGAUUGGGAAAAUACCUCCAGGGAAGGGUCGGAGUACCGAUCCUAGUUAACAAACAGGACCGUUAUGGUUUGGGAUAUAAGCCUAAUGCGAGGGAAAGGAGGAAGGAGAUGGAGAAAAAUCAAGAAAGGAGAAGAGCACAUUUGGGCGGGAUAGAAGCCAAGUGGGGACCGAUAACCUUUCCUCUUAUAUCUAAGACCUUUGUUUCAGGGGGAAUUGUCCACCCUGAAGAGAAGGAUGAGGUUACAGAGGGAAGAAUUGAGAGGUUGGACAUCAAUGCCAUAUCCGCGGAAGAAAGGGUGGAAAGGAAUUUAUCGGGCAUUCGUCCUUACGAACCUGGAAGUGUUCUGAAUAACUGGACUGCAGAAGAGAUCCCUGUAACAUUUAAAACUAAUUCAGAGUAAUAUUCAGAACACUUGUUGCCCUAAGCCUGGGGGUGAUAAGAAUCUUUUGUAAAAGGCACAUGUCCAAAAUCUAAUUUCAGUGAAAACUUAUCAUUCAGUUUCAUCUUGAGCAAAUAUUCUUUCAUUCUUUUCAUUCCAUUUAUAAUCAUACUAUGCAUACAAGUAUUCUUAGAUUCUUUUAUUUGGGCCUCCAUUUGUUCCAAUAACAGGUCUUCAAAUAUCAACGAGAUGAGCGACUCUGUUACUAAUUCAGAGUCUCUAUUUGAGCAAGACAUAAGUAUAGAUGAUCCUCAAGAUUUUGAAGGUGGCCAAGACAGCGUUUUAUCUCCGGAUUUGUUAAGAAUGAUGGAAGAAAAAGAAAAACAAAUUCUACCCUAUAAGGAAUCAGUAGAAGUUGUGAUCUUAGAAGAGGGCAGAGAGGUAAAAAUUGGCGCUUGCAUUGCCAAGGAAACAAGGCAAGACCUUGUUGAGUUGCUUCGAGAGUUUAAAGAUGUCUUCGCGUGGUCCUACCAAGAUAUGCCAGGGUUAAGUACUGAUAUCGUGGUACACCGAUUGCCUAUAAAGGAAGAAUGCAAACCAGUCCAACAAAAGCUCCGAAGGAUGAGGCCUGACGUCUUGCUAAAAAUAAAGGAAAAAGUUAAGAAGCAAUUUGAUGCUGGUUUCUUACAGGUGGUCAAGUACUCAGAAUGGGUAGCCAAUAUAGUCCCUGUUUCUAAGAAAGAUGGGAAGGUGCGAAUGUGUGUGGACUACAGAGACUUGAACAAAGCCAGCCCAAAAGAUAAUUUCCCACUGCCUCAUAUCGAUACCUUGGUAGACAACACGGCCGGAUACUCACUGUUCUCUUUCAUGGAUGGUUUCUCCGGGUACAACCAAAUUAAGAUGCUUUCUGAAGACAGGGAGAAGACCACAUUCAUAACGAUGUGGGGGACGUUUUGUUAUAAAGUGAUGCCUUUUGGAUUGAAAAAUGCGGGAGCAACGUAUCAGAGAGCCAUGGUAGCAUUAUUCCAUGAUAUGAUGCAUAAAGAGAUAGAAGUUUAUGUUGAUGACAUGAUCGCAAAAUCCAGAACAGAAAGGGAACACGUGCAAGUUCUGAGAAAACUGUUUCUGAGGUUAAGGAAGUUCCAGCUAAAACUUAACCCAGCCAAGUGUACUUUCGGGGCUAGAUCAGGAAAAUUGCUAGGAUUCUUAGUCAGCGAAAAGGGAAUUGAAAUUGACCCAGACAAAGUUAAGGCCAUACAAGAAUUACCUCCGCCAAGUACUCAAAAAGAAGUUCGGGGUUUCCUAGGAAGACUAAAUUACAUCGCUCGAUUCAUUUCACAAUUAACUGAGAAAUGUGACCCCAUAUUUCGUCUUCUUAGGAAACACAAUCCAGGUGUAUGGGAUGAGGAGUGCCAGAAAACUUUCGAAAGAGUUAAACAUUACUUGUCCAACGCCCCAGUACUGGUGCCACCUUGCCCUGACAAACCAUUGAUACUAUACUUGGCAGUAUUUGAGAAUUCCAUGGGGUGCGUGCUCGGCCAACAUGAUGAGUCAGGACGAAAAGAAAGAGCGAUCUAUUAUCUCAGUAAGAAGUUCACUGAAUGCGAAACGAGAUAUUUGCCAAUUGAAAAAUUAUGUUGCGCAUUGGUUUGGACUACUCGGAGAUUGAGACAAUACAUGUUGUACCAUACGACUUGGUUAAUCUCAAAGUUAGACCCUCUGAAAUACAUGAUGGAGUCAACUGCUCUAAACGGAAGGAUGGCCCGAUGGCAAAUUCUACUAUCUGAAUUUGACAUAACCUAUGUGAAUCAAAAGGCUGUAAAAGGGAGCGCGAUAGCAGAUUUUCUAGCAAGUAGAGCCCUGGACGAUUAUGAGCCUUUGAACUUUGACUUUCCAAACGAGGAUCUGAUGUAUGUGGCAACUACUGAAGCGAGCACACAAGAAGGCAAUACUUGGAAAUUAAAUUUUGACGGAGCCUCAAAUGCCAUGGGCAACGGGAUUGGGGCAGUCUUGGUAUCUCCAAACGGUGAUCAUUAUCCUUUCACCAGUAAACUAGAUUUUGAUUGCACAAAUAACAUGGCGGAAUAUGAAGCAUGUAUCAUGGGAAUCCGUGCGGCUAUGGAACGCAAAAUCAAGGUACUUGAGGUAUAUGGGGAUUCGGCAUUGGUAAUUUAUCAGCUCAAAGGCGAAUGGGAAACAAGAGACCCUAAAUUGAUUAGUUACCGAAGGAUAGUCCUAGAAUUGAUUGAAGAAUUUGACGACAUCACUUUUUGUUAUCUCCCACGAGACGAGAAUCAGAUGGCCGACGCUUUAGCUACAUUGGCUUCCAUGAUCAAAGUAAACAGACCAGAGGAUGUGAAGCCUAUCCAAAUGAGCAUUUAUGAUGCUCCAGCCCACUGUUGUAAUAUUGAUGAGGAAGAAGAAAAGGACGACAACCCUUGGUAUCAGGACAUAUUGCGAUACGUGAAAAAUUGUGAAUACCCAAACCAAGCAACUGAGAAUGACAAGAGAAUGUUGAGGAGGCUGGCCAGUGGCUACGUCUUAGAUGGAGAAAUCCUGUACAAAAGAGGAAAAGAUCAGGUGCUGUUAAGAUGUGUAGACGCUGUGGAGGCCAAGCAGAUCUUGGAAGAAGUCCAUGAUGGUAUUUGUGGAACACACGCUAACGGUUUCACAAUGGCCAGACAGAUCAUGAGAUUUGGAUAUUAUUGGUCUACCAUGGAAGGAGACUGCAUCAAGUAUGCUAAGAAGUGCCAUAAAUGCCAGAUUUACGGAGACAAAAUUCAUGUGCCUCCAUCACCUCUUCACGUCAUGACUUCCCCAUGGCCUUUCUCUAUGUGGGGCAUGGACGUCAUUGGGCCGAUAUCGCCAAAGGCUUCAAACGGACAUCGUUUCAUUUUUGUAGUGAUUGACUACUUUACUAAGUGGGUAGAGGCUACUUCUUACGCCAACGUCACAAAGACAGCUGUCAGCAAGUUUUUAAAGAAGGAAAUCAUAUGUCGGUAUGGAAUGCCUGAAAGGAUCAUAUCAGACAAUGCAUUAAAUUUGAAUAAUAGCACGAUAGCAGAGGUUUGUAAUCAAUUCAAGAUCAAGCACCACAACUCAUCGCCAUAUCGUCCGAAGAUGAAUGGUGCGGUGGAGGCAGCCAAUAAAAAUAUCAAAAAGAUUGUGGGAAAAAUGACUGAAACCUAUAGAGAUUGGCACGAGAAGUUGCCAUUCGCCCUCUAUGCUUAUCGAACGUCCGUCAGGACUUCUACCGGGGCAACACCAUUCUCUUUGGUUUAUGGAAUGGAGGCAGUGCUACCAAUUGAGGUUGAAAUUCCCUCUCUCCGAGUUUUUUCAGAACUAAAGUUAGACGAAGCAGAAUGGGUCCAAGCCCGAUAUGAUCAGCUGAACUUGAUUGAAGAAAGGAGGUUAAGAGCUAUCCGUCAUGGUCAAAUGUACCAGAAACGAAUGAUGCGAGCUUACAAUAAGAGAGUUCGUCCUAGAAACUUCCAUGAAGGGGACUUGGUACUGAAGAAGAUCCUUCCCAUACAAAAGGACUUCAGAGGAAAGUGGAUGCCAAACUGGGAGGGACCUUAUGUAGUAAAAAAGGCCUUUUCAGGAGGGGCAUUAAUUUUAACUGGGAUGGAUGGCAAAAGCUUGCCCAAUCCUGUGAAUUCGGAUUCAGUGAAGAGGUACUUUGCCUAAAAAAAAAAAAAAAAAAAAAAGGGGGAGAGGCCAAGGCGAAAACCCGCAAAGGGCGCCUUGAGACCAAAGGGGCUUUGAAUUGAAAACUCAGGAAUGGGCAAUUCGAAUUUUCGAUCAAAGUUGAGGCAUAGAGUAGUUUUGUCUUCUCCGAAUUAACAAGAAGGAGAGAUGCUACACUUUGGGGCAUCAACAAAGUCUUUUAGGAUUUCUAAACACAGAGUUUGUGCGGAGAAGCUCACGCUGCGAUAUCUGGGGCACCUUUUUUUUAUCUUAUUUACAUCUUAGCAAAAUUUGCUAUUUGUUCAUUUAGAGCUCUGCUCUCAAUAAAUUCCAUCUUAUUCAUUGUGAUGAUCUUUUUCAUCAUAUAUCAGCAAAAUUUGCUAUCUUGAUUGAUUUGUUCAUUUCGAGCUUUGCUCUUAGCAAAAUUUUAUUUUGUCCAUUUUGAUAAUCUUUCAAGCAUUCUUCUUUGAAAUAACGAUUAAUGGAUCGACAAUACACAUGCAGAAGGAGUUCUGCAUAUUACUCUGAAAGUUUCUAAAUAACACGAGGACCUGAAACAGGACUGUUGUUUAGAGCUGACCAAACUUAAGGGUUAGAAGCAUUGGAGGAAGAAUAGUCUAAAUUGCAUCUACUUCUUUAGGUUUUCUGUCAAAGGUACUGGCUGAACAAGAGUGCAUCAGUAAUAGAACCUUGAUGAACAAUGAGGAAUGACAACCUAAGCAUUAAAAAUGGAUCAUUCUCAUGACAUUCUACAAAUAUAAUACAUACACAUCUAGUUAGGAGCAUUUGAUUCAUUCUGAUCAUGUCAUCCUAAACACUAGGCGUAAAUAGGUCCUAUCUUCCUAUAUUGGUAGGAAGUGGAUCGAAGAUGCAGAUCUUGUCUUCCCAUAUUGGUGGCGAAGUAGAUCGCAGAAAGCAGAUCUUGUCUUCAUGUAUUGGCGUGAAGUAGAUCGAAGGUAGCAGAUCCUAUCUUCCUAUAUUGGUAGGAAGUGGAUCGAAGAUGCAGAUCUUGUCUUCCCAUAUUGGUGGCGAAGUAGAUCGCAAAAAGCAGAUCUUGUCUUCAUGUAUUGGCGUGAAGUAGAUCGAAAAUAGGUCCUAUCUUCCUAUAUUGGUAGGAAGUGGAUCGAAGAUGCAGAUCUUGUCUUCCCAUAUUGGUGGCGAAGUAGAUCGCAGAAAGCAGAUCUUGUCUUCAUGUAUUGGCGUGAAGUAGAUCGAAGGUAGCAGAUCCUAUCUUCCUAUAUUGGUAGGAAGUGGAUCGAAGAUGCAGAUCUUGUCUUCCCAUAUUGGUGGCGAAGUAGAUCGCAAAAAGCAGAUCUUGUCUUCAUGUAUUGGCGUGAAGUAGAUCGAAGGUAGCAGAUCCUAUCUUCCUAUAUUGGUAGGAAGUGGAUCGAAGAUGCAGAUCUUGUCUUCCCAUAUUGGUGGCGAAGUAGAUCGCAGAAAGCAGAUCUUGUCUUCAUGUAUUGGCGUGAAGUAGAUCGAAGGUAGCAGAUCCUAUCUUCCUAUAUUGGUAGGAAGUGGAUCGAAGAUGCAGAUCUUGUCUUCCCAUAUUGGUGGCGAAGUAGAUCGCAGAAAGCAGAUCUUGUCUUCAUGUAUUAGCGUGAAGUAGAUCGAAGGUAGCAGAUCCUAUCUUCCUAUAUUGGUAGGAAGUGGAUCGAAGAUGCAGAUCUUGUCUUCAUGUAUUGGCGUGAAGUAGAUCGAAGAUUGUAGAUCUUGCCUUCCUGUAGUUGACAGUGAAGCAGAUCGAAGAUGGCAGAUUUUACCUCCCUGACUACAGUGGAGUACAUUGAAGCCGAUAACUCUAUCUCCCUGCAUUUGACAGUGGAAUAGAUUGAAGAUCAAAGAUGGCAGAUUCUACCUCCCUGACUACAGUGGAGUACAUUGAAGCCAAUAACUCUAUCUCCAUACAUUCAACAGUGGAAUAGAGUGAAGAGCACAAAUCUUAUCUCCCUAAGCAGUAAUGGAGCAGACGAAGAAAAACACAAAUCUCAUGGAAUCGUAGCAGAGUAGAUUGAAGCUACAAGGCGUAUCUGAAGUUGCAGUAGAGCAGAUCGAAGAAUCAUAAGACGCAGUGGACUAGAAUGAGGUUACUUGAAGAAAGGAAGCACCAAAAGAAGUCAAAACUCGACGAGCCCAGGCAAAAUUGGCCUUUCUUAGUCUUUGCUCUGUUCUCGUUACACGAUAACAAGCAAAGAGGGGCAGCUGUAAGGCCCAAUUUUAUGCCCAGGCCCGAAUAUUAAAACAAUAAACAACAGUCCAAUUACAAAGGAAAAUAACAAACCCAAAAUUCAACCCACUACCUAGCCCAAUAGCAGAAACCCUAGCCCAAAUAAAAAAUGUUUGCAGCAGAAAACCCUAGGCGCAGCAUGCCUAGGGCGCGCCGCUCAGCCUCGUCUGCCCCCCUCACGCAUGCACGCCUCUGACCGGUCGCCACUCGCACGCCUCAGCCUUGGCCACCACGACGCCCAUACUGUCUGACACCCCACCACCAACACCGGCCA
RNAcentral lists this long non-coding RNA (15439 nucleotides) under Gossypium barbadense (sea-island cotton). RNAcentral describes it as "long non-coding RNA (GBAR_LNC017353)". Lineage: Eukaryota; Viridiplantae; Streptophyta; Magnoliopsida; Malvales; Malvaceae. The record is from RNAcentral.